RNAcentral lists this long non-coding RNA (1456 nucleotides) under Malus domestica (apple). RNAcentral describes it as "long non-coding RNA (MDOM_LNC004635)". The record is from RNAcentral. Lineage: Eukaryota; Viridiplantae; Streptophyta; Magnoliopsida; Rosales; Rosaceae.
AAACUCUACAACAAAUUUCAACAAUCCGAACCGUCUAUUUUGUAAGUCUGGAUUCAUAGAUCAUACUUUGAAAAAAUUCAAUUCAAUCCUAAAUCAUUUGCUUAUUGAAUUGUCACGGUAAAAUUUCAAUGUUUUCUUAAAACAAAGUUUUCGUCAAUUUCUUUGAACUCAAUUAGGUGCCUCAAAUAUUUUCGAUUUGGCUAAUAUUUUGCAAGGAUAAUCUAUGAAGUGCAACUUAAAAAAUAGACGGUUGCUUCACAACUAAUGCCCAUUUUUAUAUAAAAAUGGGAAUCCCUUUCCUUAAAGGCCUCCAUAAAAGAAAUUGUAUCGCAAACCCAUCCACCACUUGAGUUUCAAAUCUUUACUACAAGAUUCCUCAUAGUGAAAGAUGAAUAACUUUGACAACUAGUGACUUUUUUUCGAUUGCGCAUAUUGCUUUAGGAAUCUUUUAGUGUUUAAAAGGUUUUCUAUCUUUGGAGUUUUCGCUAAUUAGAUUCUUGAGAAAACAUAGAUCAAAAUUCAAUGAAUUCUUUAUAUUAACGUGACUGCUAGUACAGAAUUAGUCGAUGUUUAUUCCUCAAAUUAUUGCUUCUUUAUGUUUUUUUUCAAAGUAUAAAAUCAUCAAAAGGAUACUAAAAACUUUUGAAUCCUCCAUCCCUUCACAUUUCAUGGAAAUUAUCCCAGGGUCGACGUGUUCGUUCAAUCCUCUCAUCCUAGUGACCUGACGGCAUGCGAGGGAGAUUUCUAAUCCCUUCCAUUAGGGGAAGGUUCACGUGAGACCCACAAAAACAUUGUUGGGGCAUGGUGAUGAAUUAUGAUGAUGCUGUCUGCGUUGUCAUGCCACAAAAACAUGUCAAAUAAUCAUGUAAAUAAAUUGUAUAAUGUUUAGCAGAAACAAAAGGAAAUAAAUAAUGAUGUAAUCUAAUCGUGUAUGCAAACUUUGGAGAAUAUCAAUUAAUACGUGCUCGAAUUAUAAUUCAGAUUUUUUAUUUUUUUAACAUGGGCAGGAUCUUGCAUACUAGUCCUUCUCUCCAUGCAUUCUCAAUAUUACAUGAAGUGACAACAUAUUUUUUACUCAUGGGUCAAACACAACCCUAAAGUAGAGUUGGUGACCUCUAAAAAUGUGUUUGUAGAAGUUCAAAUUUGAGUUGAAAGUUAUAAAUCUUUGCUUGCUUUUCACGAGUUGAGUUAAGCUAGUUCAAAAAUAAAAGUGCAAUAUAGUGUUGGAGUACCGAGAGGACCUUGAUUAGGCCCAACUUCAUUUAUGUGGUUUUGAAGAUCAACUUAAAAGCAAUGCCCAGCCUAGUAUUUAACUCAAUAUUAUUGGCCCAUGAAAUGACCAAAGAGAUGGAGUGACUAAACUCAUAUUUAGGUCAAAAACCCUUUAUCCAAUCCAAUGCAUGAACAACCACGGGUGACUCAGUGGUUGAUGAUGAAUUUUAAGCCUGUAUUUCAC